RNAcentral lists this ribosomal RNA (585 nucleotides) under Escherichia coli. RNAcentral describes it as "partial 23S ribosomal RNA". It matches the Rfam family "Bacterial large subunit ribosomal RNA", at positions 241 to 867 of the family's 2925-position model. The record is from RNAcentral. Lineage: Bacteria; Pseudomonadati; Pseudomonadota; Gammaproteobacteria; Enterobacterales; Enterobacteriaceae.
CAGUAGCGGCGAGCGAACGGGGAGCAGCCCAGAGCCUGAAUCAGUGUGUGUGUUAGUGGAAGCGUCUGGAAAGGCGUGCGAUACAGGGUGACAGCCCCGUACACAAAAAUGCACAUGCUGUGAGCUCGAUGAGUAGGGCGGGACACGUGGUAUCCUGUCUGAAUAUGGGGGGACCAUCCUCCAAGGCUAAAUACUCCUGACUGACCGAUAGUGAACCAGUACCGUGAGGGAAAGGCGAAAAGAACCCCGGCGAGGGGAGUGAAAAAGAACCUGAAACCGUGUACGUACAAGCAGUGGGAGCACGCUUAGGCGUGUGACUGCGUACCUUUUGUAUAAUGGGUCAGCGACUUAUAUUCUGUAGCAAGGUUAACCGAAUAGGGGAGCCGAAGGGAAACCGAGUCUUAACUGGGCGUUAAGUUGCAGGGUAUAGACCCGAAACCCGGUGAUCUAGCCAUGGGCAGGUUGAAGGUUGGGUAACACUAACUGGAGGACCGAACCGACUAAUGUUGAAAAAUUAGCGGAUGACUUGUGGCUGGGGGUGAAAGGCCAAUCAAACCGGGAGAUAGCUGGUUCUCCCCGAAAGCU